ACGGAACGAAACGGUCCGGGUUAAUACCCUGGGCUAAUGACGGUACCGUAAGAAUAAGCACCGGCUAACUACGUGCCAGCAGCCGCGGUAAUACGUAGGGUGCAAGCGUUAAUCGGAAUUACUGGGCGUAAAGCGUGCGCAGGCGGUUUUGUAAGACAGGCGUGAAAUCCCCGGGCUCAACCUGGGAAUUGCGCUUGUGACUGCAAGGCUGGAGUGCGGCAGAGGGGGAUGGAAUUCCGCGUGUAGCAGUGAAAUGCGUAGAUAUGCGGAGGAACACCGAUGGCGAAGGCAAUCCCCUGGGCCUGCAC
Molecule: ribosomal RNA, 308 nt
Filed under: Hydrogenophaga bisanensis
Lineage: Bacteria; Pseudomonadati; Pseudomonadota; Betaproteobacteria; Burkholderiales; Comamonadaceae
Description: bacterial SSU rRNA
Rfam family: Bacterial small subunit ribosomal RNA
Source: RNAcentral